CGGAAAGCCUGACGCAGCGACGCCGCGUGAGGGAGGAAGGCCUUCGGGUUGUAAACCUCUUUCAGGAGGGACGAAGCUACUCGGGUUAAUAGCCCAGAGGGUGACGGUACCUCCAGAAGAAGCCCCGGCUAACUACGUGCCAGCAGCCGCGGUAAUACGUAGGGGGCAAGCGUUGUCCGGAUUUACUGGGCGUAAAGAGCGUGUAGGCGGCCACGCAGGUCCGUUGUGAAAACUGGAGGCUUAACCUCCAGACGUCGACGGAAACCGUGUGGCUAGAGUCCGGAAGAGGAGAGUGGAAUUCCUGGUGUAGCGGUGAAAUGCGCAGAUAUCAGGAAGAACACCAAUGGCGAAGGCAGCUCUCUGGGACGGUACUGACGCUGAGACGCGAAAGCGUGGGGAGCGAACAGGAUUAGAUACCCUGGUAGUCCACGCCGUAAACGAUGGGUGCUAGGUGUGGGAGGUGUCGACUCCUUCCGUGCCGUAGCUAACGCAUUAAGCACCCCGCCUGGGGAGUACGGCCGCAAGGCUA
RNAcentral lists this ribosomal RNA (529 nucleotides) under uncultured Actinomycetes bacterium. RNAcentral describes it as "bacterial SSU rRNA". It matches the Rfam family "Bacterial small subunit ribosomal RNA", at positions 376 to 896 of the family's 1533-position model. Lineage: Bacteria; Bacillati; Actinomycetota; Actinomycetes. The record is from RNAcentral.